GGCUUUUUGAUGAUAAUUUAAGGUUUGACCUGCCCAAUGAUUUAAAUAUUAAAUGGCCGCGGUACUUUGACCGUGCAAAGGUAGCAUAAUCAUUAGUUUUUUAAUUGAAAGCUUGUAUGAAAGGUUUGAUGAAAAAAAAACUGUCUUUAUUUAAAUUUUAUAGAAAUUUAUUUUUAAGUUAAAAAGCUUAAAUAUAUAUUAAAGACGAGAAGACCCUAUAGAGUUUUAUAUUUUUUAUAAAAUUAUUAUGUUUUAGGAUUUUUUAAUGAUUUUUUAAAUUUUAUUUAGUUGGGGUGAUUUAAAAAUUGAAUAAACUUUUUUAUUUAUAUUUACAUUGAUAUAUGAAAUUUUGAUCCUUAUUAAAGAUUAAUAGAUAAAAUUACCUUAGGGAUAACAGCGUAAUUUUUUUUAGAGUUCUUAUCAAAAAAAAAGAUUGCGACCUCGAUGUUGGAUUAAAAUUAAUUAUUGGUGUAGAAGCUAAUAAAUUAGGUCUGUUCGACCUUUAAAAUUUUACAUGAUCUGAGUUUAAACCGGUGUAAG
This 540-nucleotide ribosomal RNA is filed under the name Echinodera bellieri. Its description in RNAcentral is "partial 16S ribosomal RNA". The stretch from base 390 to 540 matches the Rfam family "Bacterial large subunit ribosomal RNA", at positions 2473 to 2625 of the family's 2925-position model. Lineage: Eukaryota; Metazoa; Arthropoda; Insecta; Coleoptera; Curculionidae. The record is from RNAcentral.